This 253-nucleotide ribosomal RNA is filed under the name uncultured bacterium. RNAcentral's name for it is "partial 16S ribosomal RNA". It matches the Rfam family "Bacterial small subunit ribosomal RNA", at positions 524 to 776 of the family's 1533-position model. The record is from RNAcentral.
UACGGGGGGGGCAAGCGUUGUUCGGAAUUACUGGGCGUAAAGGGCUCGUAGGCGGCCAACUAAGUCAGACGUGAAAUCCCUCGGCUUAACCGGGGAACUGCGUCUGAUACUGGAUGGCUCGAGUUUGGGAGAGGGAUGCGGAAUUCCAGGUGUAGCGGUGAAAUGCGUAGAUAUCUGGAGGAACACCGGUGGCGAAGGCGGAUCUCUGGGCCAUUACUGACGCUGAGGAGCGAAAGCGUGGGGAGCGAACAGG